RNAcentral lists this ribosomal RNA (253 nucleotides) under uncultured bacterium. RNAcentral describes it as "partial 16S ribosomal RNA". It matches the Rfam family "Bacterial small subunit ribosomal RNA", at positions 524 to 776 of the family's 1533-position model. The record is from RNAcentral.
GACAGAGGGUGCAACCGUUGUUCGGAUUUACUGGGCGUAAAGCGCGUGUAGGCGGCUUUGCAAGUCGGAUGUGAAAUCCCACGGCUCAACCGUGGAAGUGCAUCCGAAACUGCAUCGCUCGAGUCUCGGAGAGGAAGGUGGAAUGCUUGGUGUAGAGGUGAAAUUCGUAGAUAUCAGGAGGAACACCGAUGGCGAAGGCAGGUCUCUGGGCCACUACUGACGCUGAGAAGCGAAAGCAUGGGGAGCGAACAGG